RNAcentral lists this ribosomal RNA (253 nucleotides) under uncultured prokaryote. Its description in RNAcentral is "partial 16S ribosomal RNA". It matches the Rfam family "Bacterial small subunit ribosomal RNA", at positions 524 to 776 of the family's 1533-position model. The record is from RNAcentral.
UACGAAGGGGGCUAGCGUUGCUCGGAAUGACUGGGCGUAAAGGGCGCGUAGGCGGAGUGCUUUGUCAGACGUGAAAUUCCAGGGCUUAACCUUGGGGCUGCGUUUGAGACGGGCAUUCUAGAGUUUGGAAGAGGGUCGUGGAAUUCCCAGUGUAGAGGUGAAAUUCGUAGAUAUCGGGAGGAACACCUGUGGCGAAAGCGGCGCACUGGACCAUAACUGACGCUGAGGCGCGAAAGCUAGGGGAGCAACCAGG